Molecule: transfer-messenger RNA, 318 nt
Filed under: Lysobacterales bacterium
Lineage: Bacteria; Pseudomonadati; Pseudomonadota; Gammaproteobacteria; Lysobacterales
Description: partial transfer-messenger RNA
Rfam family: transfer-messenger RNA
About the family: Bacterial tmRNA, also known as 10Sa RNA or SsrA, is named for its dual tRNA and mRNA-like properties. Its role is to liberate the mRNA from a stalled ribosome.
Source: RNAcentral
CCUGGUGCAUGCCGAGGUCGUCACUCACCUCGUUAAUCAAGUGGCAAAACACUUAGACGCCAACGACGACGUCUACGCUCUCGCCGCUUAAGGCGUAAGCCCCGAACCCACUUGUGCCCGUGCUCGUGGAUGUAGGGUCACUAUCGCGGGAUCGCGCCGGCUGCUGCCUGUCUGCCGGCGUCAAAACACAACCGGCUGGUCCUGCGGUGCGCCUCGCGCAUCGUGUUGCCGUGGGACGAGAUCAAACGGUGCGCUAAGCAUGUAGUACCGGGGACGUAGUGCCUUCGGACGGGGGUUCGAUUCCCCCCGCCUCCACCA